Molecule: non-coding RNA, 84 nt
Filed under: Streptococcus equinus ATCC 700338
Lineage: Bacteria; Bacillati; Bacillota; Bacilli; Lactobacillales; Streptococcaceae
Source: RNAcentral
GAGCGCUGUGUGCAGUGAAAGUCGCAUGCACGGUGUGAAGUGAGGGAAAAAUGGAGAUAGUAUCAAAGUUUUACCUAUCGCUAU